Molecule: ribosomal RNA, 489 nt
Filed under: uncultured bacterium
Lineage: Bacteria
Description: bacterial SSU rRNA
Rfam family: Bacterial small subunit ribosomal RNA
Source: RNAcentral
AGAGUUGAUCCUGGCUUAGGACGAACGCUGGCGGCGUGCUUCAUACAUGCAAGUCGAACGAGAAAUUCACUUCGGUGGAUGGAAAGUGGCGGACGGGUGAGUAAUGUGUAGAGAAUCUGCCCUGGAGUGGGGGACAACAGAGGGAAACUUCUGCUAAUACCCCAUAUGAGCGUAGUUGCGAUACUAUUCUUGAAAGAUUUAUCGCUCCAGGAUGAGUCUGCAUCUGAUUAGCUAGUUGGAGGUGUAAUGGACCACCAAGGCGACGAUCAGUAGCUGGUUUGAGAGGAUGAUCAGCCACAAUGGGACUGAGACACGGCCCAUACUCCUACGGGAGGCAGCAGUAGGGAAUUUUGCGCAAUGGGCGAAAGCCUGACGCAGCCAACGCCGCGUGAUCGCAGACGCCCUUCGGGGUGUAAAGAUCUGUCAGUAGGGACGAACAAUGACUGUACCUACAGAGGAAGCACCGGCUAACUCCGUGCCAGCAGCGGC